This 301-nucleotide ribosomal RNA is filed under the name uncultured bacterium. RNAcentral's name for it is "partial 16S ribosomal RNA". It matches the Rfam family "Bacterial small subunit ribosomal RNA", at positions 509 to 807 of the family's 1533-position model. The record is from RNAcentral.
CAGUAGCCGCGGUAAUACAGAGGGUGCGAGCGUUAAUCGGAUUUACUGGGCGUAAAGCGUGCGUAGGCGGCUAAUUGAGUCGGAUGUGAAAUCCCCGAGCUUAACUUGGGAAUUGCAUUCGAUACUGGUUAGCUAGAGUGUGGGAGAGGAUGGUAGAAUUCCAGGUGUAGCGGUGAAAUGCGUAGAGAUCUGUAGGAAUACCGAUGGCGAAGGCAGCCAUCUGGCCUAACACUGACGCUGAGGUACGAAAGCAUGGGGAGCAAACAGGAUUAGAUACCCCCGUAGUCCCUGUCUCUUAUAC